UUUAUUGGAGAGUUUGAUCCUGGCUCAGGAUGAACGCUGGCGGCGUGCCUAAUACAUGCAAGUCGAGCGAAUGGAUUAAGAGCUUGCUCUUAUGAAGUUAGCGGCGGACGGGUGAGUAACACGUGGGUAACCUGCCCAUAAGACUGGGAUAACUCCGGGAAACCGGGGCUAAUACCGGAUAACAUUUUGAACCGCAUGGUUCGA
This 204-nucleotide ribosomal RNA is filed under the name Bacillus sp. HMSC036E02. Its description in RNAcentral is "partial 16S ribosomal RNA". It matches the Rfam family "Bacterial small subunit ribosomal RNA", at positions 1 to 198 of the family's 1533-position model. The record is from RNAcentral. Lineage: Bacteria; Bacillati; Bacillota; Bacilli; Caryophanales; Bacillaceae.